UCUCUGUAUUAUGGAUUAUUGUUAUUUUUUUUUCUUGCAGAUAUAUUCCAUCUAAUUUAUUGUUAAGCAUUCAAGAGAUUGACAGUAAUCAAAUUGGAAAAUUUAGCUUUCAUACAAGAGAUGGUGUUAUUCAGCUUUUGUCCCCAUCUGGAGUGGAGAACAUGCAGAUCACCCUUGCCUGUCAAGUCACUCAAAAAAAUGCUCUUAUUGUUGCUGUUCAGCAAGCCUCAUUUUGUCACAUAAUCCAGCCUACACGUACAGUGGACAUGAAGGAAGCAAAUUUAAGUUUGAAGAGUCAAAGCAGCUCAGCAAGUGGAAGAAAUUCAAGAUCUGGAAAUGAAACAGAAAAACAGACGCUGACGGCUGCACCAGCAACUUCGUAUUCUACAGGGCACCCUUUAGAUGGACACUGGACCAUUAAAAGGCCUCCAGAAGCUUUUGUAUCCAUUCAGUUGGAGAAACUGGGGCCACGGGACAUGAUGCUGAACACGUUCAUUCAUAAGAAAGAAAUCAUGGGCAGCAGAAUGCAGAACCCUAAUGAAAAUGAAAAAAUCAGAAGAGAAGUUAUUGCUGAAUACUGUCAUAGAUUGAGCCAUCGUAUGUCACUGCAUGCCCUGCGAGGCCAGAUCAUGGCAUACUACAAUAGUCUGAAAAUCCUGCUAGAAGAUUUCCCUGUCAUCAGAGACAAAUACUUCAUGAUUGGGCUAUCUCAAGAAAAAAAGGGGAACAGAGACUCA
RNAcentral lists this long non-coding RNA (737 nucleotides) under Gopherus agassizii (Agassiz's desert tortoise). RNAcentral describes it as "lncRNA (ENSGAGG00000013592.1)". The record is from RNAcentral. Lineage: Eukaryota; Metazoa; Chordata; Testudines; Testudinidae.